GAUGAAGAACGCAGCGAAAUGCGAUACUUGGUGUGAAUUGCAGAAUCCCGUGAACCAUCGAGUCUUUGAACGCAAGUUGCGCCCGAAGCCAUUAGGCCGAGGGCACGCCUGCCUGGGCGUCACACGUCGUUGCCCCCCCAUCUACUCCUUCGGGAUUGCGGGGGGCGGAUGAUGGCCUCCCGUGCGCCUCGUCGCGCGGUUGGCCUAAAUGCCAAGUCCUCGGCGACGCACGCCACGACAAUCGGUGGUUGCGAAACCUCGGUUGCCCGUCGUGUGCGGUCGUCGCGCAUCGAGGGCUCGAAAAAAUUGCCGGGCUUCGGCUCAACUUUCAACGCGACCCCAGGUCAGGCGGGGUUACCCGCUGAAUUUAAGCAUAUCAAUAAGCGGAGGA
RNAcentral lists this unclassified non-coding RNA (391 nucleotides) under soil metagenome. RNAcentral's name for it is "partial contains 5.8S ribosomal RNA, internal transcribed spacer 2, and large subunit ribosomal RNA". The stretch from base 1 to 122 matches the Rfam family "5.8S ribosomal RNA", at positions 35 to 154 of the family's 154-position model. The record is from RNAcentral.